AAUCGGUGCUUUUAGAGCAAGGCCUUAGGAAAAGAGUCGACUUGGGCAGAGUCUGAUGCUGAUGCGCUCCCGGACACACACACACACACACACACACACACACACACACUCACGCGCACACUAAAUGAAUGCAACAAUAACCCCUGUGUGUCUGUUGCCUCUCAUGUCGAGGCUGGAUCUCGGUUUUCUCCCUCUCUCCCUCUCCUCUCUCUUUGCUCUCUUUGUCUCCAUCUCAGGUGAAUCGUAGACAUGUGAUCAAACGCCCAAGCCUCUAUCCAUUAACCCUCGUCAAUGAAAAAAAAAUGGGGAACAAAAAGCAGUUUUGUGCUGCAAACAUGGAAAAAAUUGAUAACAGAGAGAGAUGUGUGCGUCUUUCUCCCCUUAUGUCCGAGCAUAGACACCAGUCGCGCACACACAGAAAAUACUCUGCGGCAGACGGGACACAUGGAUUCUCUCUGUUUUCCUCCGCUCCGACACAUUUUCUGUCAUGAAACAGCCUCUGCAGCACCUGGAUCUGGGCCUCGGAGGUGCAAAUGGUAGGGGGCUGCGUUUGGCCAUGAGGGGCUGAUGGGUUGGCGAGUGUGUGCAUGUGUGUGUGUGUUGGGGAGGUGCACACCUACACGCCUGCACCCCACCGACCCCCCAAAGGCAACACCACGGAUCCUGCUCGAGGCCUCCGAGGCUGGUGAAGUACUGGAGGUGGGAUGAAUAAGAAAUAAAACCCUGUCGGAGCUCGGUUGCUGUCUCUCUACGGCCUGAGACACGCACCUGUCCGGUUUUGAUGGCACCUGGGCUCUGUUGUCGUGCUGCUGACACCAUCAAGUAUCACAAAGCUGACGCGGCUGCUUCUCGUGUACCUGCUCUUGUAAACCUGAUAAUCUAUAACUUUUCAAUAAUGUGAAAAAUGUCUGAACACUUUAAUGUAAUAAUCUCUAUAACAUCUGUAAUAAUACUCAAACAGAAUAAGGAUGUAUAAUGAGAAAGCAAGAAAUAUAGCUCUUUGUUUCCAAAUAUUAUGGCUUGUGACCACAUGCAGAUUAUCACGGUUUGUGUAUUUCUUAAAGUUGUGAGCAGUGAUCCCUGAUGUUUUGACCCUUUUCAAACUGUUUAUUGAAUAACUGUUGGGAGUAUAAUGACGGUAAAACAAAGCGGUAAUACACAAUAAAGAGGAAAUGAUUACAAAUGAUAAUGUCUAUUGUCGUGAUGUAGUGGCUCACAGGCAAACAUCAAGAAAAAAUGGCAGCUGGUAGUGUGUUGUUAUUCUUCCUGUUCCAUCAGUCUACUGCUGAUGUCUUAGAUUAAUGUUGUGACCCCACGGUGGAGACCUUUGCAUCAACCCCUCUCUAACCACAGAAAUCUCAAGAGAAACCGCUCCUUUACUCCGACACAGUGUCUCAAAAACUGGUGUGAAUAAUGAUCAGUCAUUUGCUGAUUUUGGCAUAGGGUAUAAUAACAAAAAUCCAACAAAGCCACAAAGUGGAUGGUUUAUUAAUCAAUUAAAAAGCAUAACUUAGUACUUUGGCAAUGUCACCCACUGUGGUGUCACUGUGCAACCACACGGGGGAGCCUGUGCAACAGUAAUUAAUGACUGGUUACUCCUAAUGGUUUCUUCUUAGUAUCCCUGUUAUUCAUCCCACAGCCUUUCACCUUU
This is a long non-coding RNA of Scophthalmus maximus (turbot), 1651 nucleotides long. RefSeq lists it as uncharacterized. The transcript has 3 exons. NCBI's taxonomy places the organism in Eukaryota, Metazoa, Chordata, Actinopteri, Pleuronectiformes, Scophthalmidae. The record is from RefSeq and is a predicted model, not a curated record.